GACGAACGCUGGCGGCGUGCUUAACACAUGCAAGUCGAACGGAAAGGCCCUGCUUUUGUGGGGUGCUCGAGUGGCGAACGGGUGAGUAACACGUGAGUAACCUGCCCUUGACUUUGGGAUAACUUCAGGAAACUGGGGCUAAUACCGGAUAGGAGCUCCUGCUGCAUGGUGGGGGUUGGAAAGUUUCGGCGGUUGGGGAUGGACUCGCGGCUUAUCAGCUUGUUGGUGGGGUAGUGGCUUACCAAGGCCUUGACGGGUAGCCGGCCUGAGAGGGUGACCGGCCACAUUGGGACUGAGAUACGGCCCAGACUCCUACGGGAGGCAGCAGUGGGGAAUAUUGCACAAUGGGCGGAAGCCUGAUGCAGCAACGCCGCGUGCGGGAUGACGGCCUUCGGGUUGUAAACCGCUUUCGCCUGUGACAAAGCGUGAGUGACGGUAAUGGGUAAAGAAGCACCGGCUAACUACGUG
Molecule: ribosomal RNA, 468 nt
Filed under: uncultured bacterium
Lineage: Bacteria
Description: partial 16S ribosomal RNA
Rfam family: Bacterial small subunit ribosomal RNA
Source: RNAcentral